CGUUGAAGAACCUCUUUCAUUCUCUGGGGAACAUGGUACGAAUUAAAAGUGAGGUUCGAUCUCUGCCUGCGAUCAGUUUGAUGAAGAAGGAUGAAAAGGUGAGGGCAUUCAAUACCAACUGGUAUCAAAAGUAUAACGUUAGCUGGUUAACAAGGAGCCUUUCAUCAAUCUAGCCUGCUUUUUGGAAAAUCUGAGCCUUGGGUGAAAGAGGGGUAGCUACAGUGACCUGGAGAGCAUUGAUCGUUCAGCAGGAAGCAUAUAAAUUCCCACACCAGAUUCUAGCUUCGGGGGAAAAGCUGCAUCGAAUAUGACGAAGGUCUGCGUAUUCAAACUGCGCGACACAACGAGAAAGUUAGAAGAAACGGAAAUGUUCUCAAGCGGCUUAUCAACACCCCUACGUUUUUGGGCAUGCAAGAAUUUGCUUUUAGAGGACACUAUGAGAGGGAAAGUUCCCGCCGACAAGGGAAACUACAAUGAGCUUGCAGAGCUAAGUUCCCUCCUGUUCCCUGAUUAAGAGGUGAUGACCACUCUACUACCAUUGUCAACUCUGUCCUGACAUGAACUGAAGCCAUGUCUCAUGUGCCCGCUCAUCCACUGCUACAUUGAAUGUUUCCUCUCCAAGCACUUUGAGUACCCCUGUCAAUUUUCUCUCAUUACUCUAUGUAGAGUCAAUCACAAACACAAUCACAUUAUUACACAUGAAUGAUUUUACUCCUUGCUUGGAUUAACUCAUUCUAAGCUCUUUGGUCAAACUGUGUAGUGUGUUAUUGUUUUUUGUCUUUCCAGAGAAAUCCUAUCCUGCAAUGAAGUCAAGCCUCUGAACACCUCAACGCAUGCCUCAUACCCUCAUUCAAUCACUGCUGUGAUCUUACUGUGUAAGUCACCCUCUCAAUCCCAUUGCCCGUAAUAUUGUACUAUAAAUGUAUUUAUUAAAUGCUUUAGGUUAAAAUAAUUACGCUUUGACAAUUCUUUAAACACAAUUUGACAUCUCGUGGGUCUCCCAUACUAAUUUUUCAAGUCACCAGCCUCCACUGGUACAUAGUAUGGUGUUUAAGUAUGUAGUAUGCCAGUUUAUUAUUUGAACACGGACAAUGUCUUGCUUUUGCUUUUUUCUCUGUCUGUAGGCCACUUUAGGGACUAAAUAACAGUGUAUGAUAUAUUGUUGCUAUUGCCUUUUGUUGAUCCGUGGUCCCUCCUUCUCUUUCUUCACCUCUGGGAAAGACGGGUCAUUUCUCAUGCUGAAUGAAUGCCACCGUCUUUGAUUCCAAUUCUGUUGGAUUGCAAAGGAUAAACACUGAAGGCCUGACAGAAGACGAAUCACCAGGAUACUCACAGGUUCCUGUGUAACUAAUCGCACAGGGGCGGGGGGAUUGAGAUGGAGAUGCACUACUUCCUCCUUGUGUUUUUGAAGCAGGACCAGGAAACCUUCAGCACUUGGACACCAGAAUGAUAAAAUGCUGAGGCUGAGAGGCAAGCUAUUAAUAGACUCCAGCACCUGAAACUGUCACACUGAUCCUUGUCCCACAGCCCUGUGUCAACAUCAGUAACACAAAAGUACUGUACUGUAUGUGAGACCUGUGAAGUGCUGGUGAAGGUUUUCAUGUAUCGGUUACUGUAUCAUGCAAGUCUUGCUAAUUCUAUUGAUGAUGAUGUAUUAUAUUACAAUAUGUGUCACGUAGGCCUACACAUUGGGGAUCAUGAAUAAAAUGCUAAUUGUAAACAUUUUGAGAACAACUUUUAGCAUGUAGAUCAGCCAGCAGUAAUGUUACUGUAUCUUGAGUGUUCAAAACAUUAAGAACACCUACUCUUUCCAUGACAGAUUAAUCGGGUAAAUCCAGGUGAAAGCUAUGAUCCCUUAUUGAUGUCAUUUGUUAAACCCACUUCAAUCAGUGUAGAUCAAAUCAAAUGUAUUUAUAUAGCCCUUCGUACAUCAGCUGAUAUCUCAAAGUGCUGUACAGAAACCCAGCCUAAAACCCCAAAAGGCAAGCAAUGCAGGUGUAGAAGCACGGUAGCUAGGGAAAACUCCCUAGAAAGAACAAAACCUAGGAAGAAACCUAGAGAGGAACCAGGCUAUGUGGGGUGGAGACAGGUUAAAGAAGUAUUUGUAAGCCUUGAAACAUUUGAGACAUCGAUGUGUGCCAUUCCACGGGGAGAAUGGGCAAGACAAAAUAUUAAUUUUUGUACCCUUUUUUCUCCCCAAUUUCAUGGAAUCCAAUUGGUAGUUAUAGUCUUGUAUUUAAUUUUUUAUUUUAUUUCACCUUUAUUUAACCAGGUAUGCUAGUUGAGGCUAGUUCUCAUUUGCAACUGCGACCUGGCCAAAAUAGAGCAAAGCAGUUCGACACAUACAACAACACAGAGUUACACAUGGAAUAAACAAACACACAAUCAAUAAUACAGUAGAAAAAUCUAUAUACAGCAUGUACAAAUGAGGUAGGAUAAGAGAGGUAAGGCAAAAAAUAGGCCAUGGUGGCAAAGUAACUACAAUAUAGCAAUUAAACACUGGAAUGGUAGGAAGUGCAGAAGAUAAAUAUGCAAGUUGAGAUAAUGGGAUGCAAAGGAGCAAGAUAAAUAAAUACAGUAUGGGGAUGAGUUAGAUUGGAUGGGCCAUUUACAGAUGAGCUAUGUACAGGUGCAGUGAUAUGUGAGCUGCUCUGACAGCUGGUGCUUAAAGCUAGUGAGGGAGGUAAGGGUCUUCAGCUUCAGAGAUUUUUGCAGGUCGUUCCAGUCAUUGGCAGCAGAGAACUGUAAGGAGAGGCGGCCAAAGGAAGAAAUGGCUUUUGGGGUGACCAGUGAGAUAUACCUGCUGGAGCGCGUGCUACGGGUGGGUGCUGCUAUGGUGAGCUGAGAUAAGGCGGGGCUUUACCUAGCAGAGACUUGUAGAUGACCUGGAGCCAGUGGGUUUGGCGAUGAGUAUGAAGCGAGGGCCAGCCAACGAGAGCGUACAGGUCGCAGUGGUGGGCAGUAUAUGUGGCUUUGGUGACAAAACGGAUGGCACUGUGAUAGACUGCAUCCAAUUUGUUGAGUAGAGUGUUGGAGGCUAUUUUGAAAAUGACAUCGCCGAAGUCGAAAAUCGGUAGGAUGGUCAGUUUUACGAGGGUAUGUUUGGCAGGUUUGUUGUGAAAUAGGAAGCCAAUUCUAGAUUUAAUUUUGGAUUGGAGAUGGUUAAUGUGAGUCUGGAAGGUGAGUUUACAGUCUAACCAGACACCUAGGUAUUUGUAGUUGUCCACAUAUUCUAAGUCAGAACCGUCCAGAGUAGUGAUGCUGGAUGGGCGGGCGAGCAGGUGCGGGCAGCGAUCGGUUGAAUAGCAUGCAUUUAGUAUUACUUGCAUUUAAGACCAGUUGAAGCCACGGAAGGAGAGUUGUAUGGCAUUGAAGCUCAUCUGGAGGUUAGUUAACACAGUGUCCAAUGAAGGGCCAGAGGUAUACAGAAAGGUGUCGUCUGCGUAGAGGUGGAUCAAAGAAUCACCAGCAGCGAGAGCAACGUCAUUGAUGUAUACAGAGAAGAGAGUCGGCCCGAGAAUUGAACCCUGUGGCUCCCCCAUAGAGACUGCCAGAGGUCCGGACAACAGGCCCUUCGAUUUGACAUACUGAACUCUAUCUGAGGAGAAGUUGGUAAACCAAGAGAGGCAAUCAUUUGAGAAACCAAGGCUGUUGAGUCUGCCAAUAAGAAUGUUGUGAUUGACAGAGUCGAAAGCCUUAGCCAGGUCGAUGAAUACGGCUGCACAGUAAUGUCUCAUCGAUGGGGGUUAUGAUAUCGUUUAGGACCUUGAGCGUGGCUGAGGUGCACGCAUGACCAGCUCUGAAACUAGAUUGCAUAGCGGAGAAGGUACGUUGAGUUCCGAAAUGGUCGGUGAUCUGUUUGUUAAUUUGGCUUUCAAAGUCCUUAGAAAUGCAGGGUAGAAUAUAGGUCUGUAGCAGUUUGGGUCAAGAGUGUCUCCCCCAUUGAAGAGGGGGAUGACAGUGGCAGCUUUCCAAUCUAUGAGAAUCUCAGACCUCUCAAAGAGAGGUUGAACAGGCUAGUAAUAUGGCUUGCAAUAUUUUCGGCAGAUUUUAGAAAGAGAGGGUCCAGAUUGUCUAGCCUGGCUGAUUUGCAGGGGUCCAGAUUUUGCAGCUCUUUCAGAACCUCAGCUAUCUGGAUUUGGGUGAAGGAGAAGUGGGGAGGUUUGGGCGAGUUGCUGUGGGGAGCGCAGGGCUGUUGACCGGAGUAGUGGUAGCCAGGUGGAAAGCAUGGCCAGCCGUAGAAAGAUGCUUAUUGAAAUUCUCAAUUAUUGCGGAUUUAUCUGUAGUGACAGUGUGUCCUAGCCUCAGUGCAGUGGGCAGCUGGGAGGAGGUGCUCUUAUUCUCCAUGGACUUUACAGUGUCCCAGAACUUUUUUGAGUUUGUACUACAGGAUGCAAAUUUCUGUUUGAAAAAGCUAGCCUUAGCUUUCCUAACUGCCUGUGUAUAUUGGUUCCUAACUUCCCUAAAAAGUUGCAUAUCACGGGAGCUAUUCGAUGCUAAUGCAGGAUGUUUUUGUGCUGGUCAAGGGCAGACAGGUCUUGAGUGAACCAAGGGCUAUAUCUACUCCUAGUUCAACAUUUUUUGAACGGAGCAUGCUUAUUUAAGAUGGUGAGGAAGGCACUUUUAAAGAAUAACCAGGCAUCCCCUACUGACGGGAUGAGGUCAAUGUCAUUCUAGGAUACCCCGGCCAUCGAUUAGAAAGGCUUGUUUGCAGAAGUGUUUGUGGGAGCGUUUGACAGUGAUGAGGGGUGGUCGUUUGACCGCAGACCCAUUACGGAUGCAGGCAAUGAGGCAGUGAUCGCUGAGAUCUUGGUUGAAAACAGCAGAGGUGUAUUUGGAGGGUGAGUUAGUUAGAAUGAUAUCUAUGAGGGUGCCCGUGUUUACGGAUUUGGGGUUGUACCUUGUAGGUUCAUUGAUAAUUUGUGUGAGAUUGAGGGCAUCGAGUUUAGAUUGUUUGAUGGCCGGGGUGUUAAGCAUGUCCCAGUUUAGGUCACCUAGCAGCACGAGUUCAGAAGAUAGAUGGGUGCGUCACCUGAGUGGGUUGAUUCACUGAUGUGGUCAUCCUGUCUGGGUUGGCGCCCCCCUUUGGGUUGUGCCAUGGCAGAGAUCUUUGUGGGCUAUACUCAGCCUUGUCUCAGGAUGGUAAGUUGGUGGUUGAAGAUAUCCCUCUAGUGGUGUGGGGGCUGUGCUUUGGCAAAGUGGGUGGGGUUAUUUCCUUCCUGUUUGGCCCUGUCCAGGGGUGUCCUCGGAUGGGGCCACAGUGUCUCCUGACCCCUCCUGUCUCAGCCUCCAGUAUUUAUGCUGAAGUAGUUUAUGUGUCGGGGGGCUAGGGUCAGUUUGUUAUAUCUGGAGUACUUCUCCUGUCCUAUUCAGUGUCCUGUGUGAAUCUAAGUGUGCGUUCUCUAAUUCUCUCCUUCUCUCUUUCUUUCUCUCUCUCGGAGGACCUGAGCCCUAGGACCAUGCCCCAGGACUACCUGACAUGAUGACUCCUUGCUGUCCCCAGUCCACCUGGCCGUGCUGCUGCUCCAGUUUCAACUGUUCUGCCUUAUUAUUAUUCGACCAUGCUGGUCAUUUAUGAACAUUUGAACAUCUUGGCCAUGUUCUGUUAAAAUCUCCACCCGGCACAGCCAGAAGAGGACUGGCCACCCCACAUAUGCUCUCUCUAAUUCUCUCUUUCUUUCUCUCUCUCAGAGGACCUGAGCCCUAGGACCAUGCCCCAGGACUACCUGACAUGAUGACUCCUUGCUAUCCCCAGUCCAUCUGACCGUGCUGCUGCUCCAGGUUCAACUGUUCUGCCUUAAUUUUAUUGACCAUGCUGGUCAUUUAUGAACAUUUGAACAUCUUGGCCAUGUUCUGUUAUAAUCUCCACCCUGCACAGCCAGAAGAGGACUGGCCACCCCACAUAGCCUGGUUCCUCUCUAGGUUUCUUCCUAGGUUUUGGCCUUUCUAGGGAGUUUUUCCUAGCCACUGUGCUUCUACACCUGCAUUGCUUGCUGUUUGGGGUUUUAGGCUGGGUUUCUGUACAGCACUUUGAGAUAUCAGCUGAUGUACGAAGGGCUAUAUAAAUAAAUUUGAUUUGAUUUGAGAUGGGGGGCAAUCAAUUCGCAUAUGGUGUCCAGGGUACAGCUGGGGGCAAGCGGCAACAGUGAGAGACUUGUUUCUGGAAAGGUGAAUUUUUAGAAGUAGAAUCUCGAAUGGUUUUGGUAUGGACCUGGAUAGUAAUAUAGAACUCUGCAGGCUAUCUCUGCAGUAGAUUGAAACAUCGUCCCCUUUGACAGUUCUCUCUUGGCAGAAAAUGUUAUAGUUAGGGAUGGAAAUUUCAGAGAUUUUGGUGGUUUUCCUAAGCCAGGAUCCAGACACGGCUAAGACAUCCGGGUUGGCAGAAUGUGCUAAAGCAGUGAAUAAAACAACUUAGGGGGUAAGUUUCUAAUGUUACAUGCAUGAAACCAAGGCUUUUACGGUUACAGAAGUCAACAAAUGAGAGCACCUGGGGAGUAGGAGUGGAGCUAGGCACUGCAGGUCCUGGAUUAACGUCUACAUUACCGCGGAACAGAGGAGAAGUCGGAUAAGGGUACGGCUAAAGGCUAUAAGAACUGGCCGUCUAGCAUGUUCGGAACAGAGAGUAAAGGGAGCUGGUUUCUGGGCACGAUAGCAUAGAUUCAAGGCAUAAUGUACAGACAAAGGUAUGGUAGGAAGAGAGUACAUUGUCUCUAGAGAGACAAUGUAAACCAGGUGAUGUCAUCGCAUAUGUGGGAGGUGGAACAACAUGGUUGGUUAAGGUUAUUGAGCAGGGCUAUAGGCUCUACAGUGAAAUAAGACAGUAAUCACUAACCAGGGCAGUAAUGGACAAAGCAUAUUGAUAUUAGAGAGAGGCAUGCGUGGCCAAGUGAUCGUAUGGGUCCAGUGAGUGGUUGGGCUGGCAGGGGACACGGCGAUUCAGACAGUUAGCAGGCCAGUGCUAGCAGUUAACAGGCCAUGGCUAGCAAGCUAGCAUAAGGGCCUUAGAGGGACGUCGCGAUGGGGAAAAGUCUGUUUUUGCCUCCUCGUGCGGUGAAGUCUACAGACCAGUCGUGGAAUUAGUAGGGUUCCAAGUAGCAGAGGGGUCCAAGUCCAAUUGGCAAAAUUGGUAUAGUGGUCCAAGAAACUCGCCGGUGGAUCAGCUAACAAUCCAAUAUGCUAUAGAUAGCUAGCAGGCCGCAGUUAGCAGAAAGGGCCUUCAGGGGACGUCGCGCCUGAGGGGCCUGUUGGGAUCCUCGGGCAGAUUAUGUCGGUAUUCCAGUCGUGAAGGAUCGGCGGGGUUCCGUGCCCCGUACCGGCAGUAGAAGGGGUCCGGAUAUUGUAGCCGAGGAGUGAGCUUCAGUAGUAGCCCAGGAGCCCUAGCCUGGAGAUGGGUCUAGCUUGGGCUAGCCCCAGGCUAGUUGGUGCUUGCUCCGGGACGAAAACGUUAGCCAGGAGUAGUCAACCCGGGUUGUGGUUAGCUAGCUGCCAUGAUCCAGAUGAAAGGGUUCAGAGUUUGCGGUAGGAAUCCGGGGAUAUGGAGAGAAAAAUAGGUUCGGUAUGCUCUGGUUUGAAACGCGUUGUAUGAACUGGCGAGAGCUUUCCAGUGAACAGGUUAGCUGACGGAUAUCUGGUAGCUAGUCAGCUAGCUAGCUUCAGAUGAGGUAUUCUAGUUCAGAGGUAAAUAGAAAUACUUUAGAAAAAAACAGAUCCACACCACAUUGGGUGAGGUGGGUUGCAGGAGAGUAUUUUGAAGUUAAGGUUUAGGAAAAAUAAAAAAUAAAAGAUAUAAAAAGAUAUAUACAUGGGAAAAGACAAAGACGUCUGACUACUACACCAUCUUGGAAUUUAGACGAUAAGGGUAGUCUUACUAAGACAUACACUGCAUAAAUUGCCUACAUUACUACAAAUAGUAAUAGCUAAUUAUGGAUAAUAAGAUAAACUGGAUUUUAAAGUGCAUAUAAAAAAAGAAACGGCCCUUUUUCAGGACCCUGUCUUUCAAAGAUAAUUUGUAAAAACACGGUUUCCCAUGCUUGUUCAAUGAACCAUAGACAAUUAAUGAACAAGCACCUGUGGAACGGUCGUUAAGACACUAACUGCUUACAGAUGGUAGACAAUUAAGGUCACAGUUAUGAAAACUUAGGACACAAAAGAGGCCUUUCUACUGACUCUGAAAAACACCAAUGAAAGAUGCCCAGUGUCCCUGCUCAUCUUCGUGAAUGUGCCUUAGGAAUGCUGCAAGGAGGCAUGAGGACUGCAGAUGUGGCAGGGCAAUAAAUUGCUAUGUCCGUACUGUGAGACGCCUAAGACAGCGCUACAGGGAGACAAGAUGGACAGCUGAUCAUCCUUGCAGUAGCAGACCACGUGUAACAACACCUGCACAGGAUUGGUACAUCCGAACAUCACACCAGCGGUACAGGUACAGGACGGCAACAACAAAUGUCAGAGUUACACCAGGAACGCACAAUCCCUCCAUCAGUGCUCAGACUGUCCGCAAUAGGCUGAGAGGCUGGACUGAGGGCUUGUAGGCCUGUUGUAAGGCAGGUCCUCACCAGACAUCACCGGCAACAGCGUCGCCUAUAGGCACAAACCCUGGACCAGACAGGACUGGCAAAACGUGCUCUUCACUGACGAGUCAAGGUUUUGUCUCACCAAGGGUGAUGGUCGGAUUCGUGUUUAUCGUUGAAGGAAUGAGCGUUACACCGAGGCCUGUACUCUGGAGCGGGAUCGAUUUGGAGGUGGAGGUGGGUCAUAACAUCAUCGGACUGAGCUUGUGGUCAUUGCAGGCAAUCUCAAUGCUGUGCGUUACAGGGAAGACAUCCUCCUCCCUCAUGUGGUACCCUUCCUGCAGGCUCAUCCUGACAUGACCCUCCAGCAUGACAAUGCCACCAGCCAUACUGCUCGUUCUGUGCGUGAUUUCCUGCAAGAAAGGAAUGUCAGUGUUCUGCCAUGGCCAGCGAAGAGCCCGGAUCUCAAUCCCAUUGAGCACGUCUGGGACCUGUUGGAUCGCAGGGUGAGGGCUAGGGCCAUUCCCCCCAGAAAUGUCCGGGAACUUGCAGGUGCCUGGUGGAGGAGUGGGGUAACAUCUCACAGCAAGAACGGGCAAAUCUGGUGCAGUCCAUGAGGAGGAGAUGCACUGCAGUACUUAAUGCAGCUGGUGGCCACACCAGAUACUGACUGUUUGUUUUGAUUUUGACCCCCCUUUGUUCAGGGAUACAUUAUUCCAUUUCUGUUAGUCACAUGUCUGUGGAAAUUGUUCAGUUUAUGCCUCAGUUGUUGAAUCUUGUUUGCUGAAAUAAACGUAGUUGACAGUUAUUUACCCCCAAACUGGAAAUGAUGCAGACAAUUACAUUGAUGGAAGCACCAAUCUGUCCGCAAUAUUAAAGCUGAUCCACCCUUUAAGAAAAAUUAUAUUAAAAUUAAAUAUAAAAGACAUACACCACUCUAUAUCUAAUGUGUUAUGGUAAGGGUAGUCUUACUAAUAGACAUACACAGCUCUAGAACUAAGGUAUUACGAUAAGGGUAGUCUUACUAAGACAUAUACAGCUCUAUACCUAAGGUAUUGUGGUAAAGGUAGUCUUAAUUAGACAUACACAGCUCUAUACCUAAGGUAUAAUGGUAAGGGUCUUCUUACUAAUAUACAUACACAGCUCUAGAACUAAGGUUUUACAGUAAGACUAGUCUUACUAAGACAUACACUGCUCUAUAACCAUGGUAUUAUGGUAAGUAGAUUUUCAAACGUGAUUUAUAACUUGUAAUAGUUGCCUGAAAGAGAGAACAAAAUGACAAGGGUUUUACCUCAAGGGUAGUACAGAUGUAUUUUCAUACUGUACUUGCUCACUUCAAAAUGUUGAUAAGUGUCUGUCCAAUAUCUAUCUUGGAGAUAUAAAAUAUUGUAGUUUUUUGAACAUACAUUGCCUUCAAAAAAGUAUUCACAGACUUUUACUACAUUUUGUUGUGUUACAGCCUGAACUUAAAAUGGAUUCAAUUGAGAUGUUUUCGUAAUUGGCCUAGAAUCAAAUCAAAUCAAAUCAAAUUUAUUUAUAUAGCCCUUCGUACAUCAGCUGAUAUCUC
Oncorhynchus tshawytscha (Chinook salmon) is the source of this 10071-nucleotide long non-coding RNA. The record is from Ensembl. Lineage: Eukaryota; Metazoa; Chordata; Actinopteri; Salmoniformes; Salmonidae.